This 497-nucleotide ribosomal RNA is filed under the name uncultured bacterium. RNAcentral describes it as "partial 16S ribosomal RNA". It matches the Rfam family "Bacterial small subunit ribosomal RNA", at positions 28 to 507 of the family's 1533-position model. The record is from RNAcentral.
GACGAACGCUGGCGGCGUGCCUAAUACAUGCAAGUAGAACGCUGAAGCGAGGAGCUUGCUCUUCUUGGAUGAGUUGCGAACGGGUGAGUAACGCGUAGGUAACCUGCCUUGUAGCGGGGGAUAACUAUUGGAAACGAUAGCUAAUACCGCAUAACACUGGAUGACACAUGUCAUUUAUUUGAAAGGGGCAAUUGCUCCACUACAAGAUGGACCUGCGUUGUAUUAGCUAGUAGGUGAGGUAAUGGCUCAACUAGGCGACGAUACAUAGCCGGCCUGAAAGGGUGGUCGGCCACACUGGGACUGGGACACGGCCCAGACUCCUGCGGGAGGCAGCAGUAGGGAAACUUCGGCAAUGGGGGCAACCCUGACCGAGCAACGCCGCGUGAGUGAAGAAGGUUUUCGGAUCGUAAAGCUCUGUUGUAAGUCAAGAACGGGUGUGAGAGUGGAAAGUUCACACUGUGACGGUAGCUUACCAGAAAGAGACGGCUAACUACGUG